Ctenocephalides felis (cat flea) is the source of this 528-nucleotide long non-coding RNA. RefSeq lists it as uncharacterized. The transcript has 3 exons. Lineage: Eukaryota; Metazoa; Arthropoda; Insecta; Siphonaptera; Pulicidae. The record is from RefSeq and is a predicted model, not a curated record.
UCUGUCAUGUUUUGUGCCUAUAGAUUGUGAAUUUCGUGUUAAAGUGCGAGUGAUAUUAUUAACACCUUAUAAAGUAUUUCAGUUUUAUUUUACAAUAAUAUUUAUUUUUGUUUAGUCUUUCAAAUAACUUUGUGUUAAGUGACUUAGUGAUUUUCUUACAAUUUAAUGAGUGGUCUGCCGAUUGCAGGUCCGCGAGUUCUUGUAAUCCAAGGCGAGAAACUACUUUAAUCAUAGGAUUUCUCCACAUGCGCUAUGGGAGCUCGAACGUAAUAAGAUAACGAACCGGCUCUCGAAAUGGAAUACAAUUCGAGCCCCUGGACUAUUACACCGUUUUUCACUCGUGGUGUUUUAUAUAAUAUAAAAGACGAUGAAGAGGAGAAAGAGCGCGGCACAGGAAUGGCAAAUUGUAAUGAAAUCAACCGGCAGUUACGUGGACCGGGGCACUCUAUAAGAAUAUAGAUGGGCUCUUGUAGUACAGAUGUAGAAUGUAAUUUAUUGUUGUGAAACCUAAUAAUGAUUUCUGUAUAA